GAUGAACGCUGGCGGCGUGCCUAAUACAUGCAAGUCGAGCGAACAGACGAGGAGCUUGCUCCUCUGACGUUAGCGGCGGACGGGCGAGUAACACGUGGAUAACCUACCUAUAAGGCUGGGAUAACUUCGGGAAACCGGAGCUAAUACCGGAUAAUAUAUUGAACCGCAUGGUUCAAUAGUGAACGACAGUUUUGCUGUCACUUAUAGAUGGAUCCGCGCCGCAUUAGCUAGUUGGUAAGGUAACGGCUUACCAAGGCAACGAUGCGUAGCCGACCUGAGAGGGUGAUCGGCCACACUGGAACUGAGACACGGUCCAGACUCCUACGGGAGGCAGCAGUAGGGAAUCUUCCGCAAUGGGCGAAAGCCUGACGGAGCAACGCCGCGUGAGUGAUGAAGGUCUUCGGAUCGUAAAACUCUGUUAUUAGGGAAGAACAAAUGUGUAAGUAACUAUGCACGUCUUGACGGUACCUAAUCAGAAAGCCACGGCUAACUACGUG
This 497-nucleotide ribosomal RNA is filed under the name uncultured bacterium. RNAcentral's name for it is "partial 16S ribosomal RNA". It matches the Rfam family "Bacterial small subunit ribosomal RNA", at positions 28 to 507 of the family's 1533-position model. The record is from RNAcentral.